GAGACCUGUGUCCGAAUCACCUACUGCCCGACAUUGCAAGACCAGUCGUCCAUCUCUGGGUCAGGCAUCAUGGCUGACUUUCUGGUUCAGUACGAUGUGGUCAUGGAGGACAUCAUUGGAGACGUGCAGCAUCCUCGUGUUCCUGAAACACUGCCGAAACACCUCCUCCUUGAUGACUCCAGUCCACCAACAAUUCGUUUGUCUGCCCUGGACUAAAAAUGACCUAUGGUUAAACGUUUUCUCAUGCAACAUUCAUUCAUUCAUAUGUUGAAUGAAUAUGUGAACUAGGCCAGUCCUGUACUCAUUGACUCUGACAACUCAGAAGUGAGUCGGACACAGCCACUCAUCUCCCUCUGCCAUCACCCCAUCCUGAAGCACCCAGAUACACAGAGCCUUGUCGGUCAUCAAAUGUUCUAGGUGCUGUGUUUGAGUGUGUCAUGGGUUCUGUCGUGGUGCCAGUGGAGGAGGGUUUCAGGGCCGUCAUCCUAAAGGAGUUGGAAUUUAAGUAAGCAUGGGAAAAAUGAAUGGGAUAUAUCUGCAAGUCGGUCGAGAAGGUGAAGGGAAAGGCAUGCAGUGAGAAGGAACAGCAUUGCAGAGGCACAGAGGUGUGGCUCAGUCUGUUGUGCAGGAGGAAUAAAAGUUAUUCUCCUGCCAGGA
This 657-nucleotide small RNA is filed under the name Pan troglodytes (chimpanzee). RNAcentral describes it as "processed transcript". Lineage: Eukaryota; Metazoa; Chordata; Mammalia; Primates; Hominidae. The record is from RNAcentral.